CUUCUCCACAAAGAGUGUGCUUGUUAAAUGAAAGCUGAAUUUGAGCAAAGCUGCUUGGGAAAAAGAAAGUGUUCUAUCAGAGAGACUCGGGUUAGUUUUGUCAAUUUGACCAAAGCUAGAGUCCUCUGGAAAAAGGGGGCCACAAUUGAGAAAAUGCUUCCAGAAGAUCCCGUUGUAAGGAAUUUUCUUAAUUAGUGAUUGAUAGGGAAGGGCUCACCCAUUGUGGAUGGUACCGUCACUGGGCUAAUGGUUCUGGAUUCUAUAAGAAAGAAGUCUACAGAAGCCAGUCAACAGCAUCCCUCCAUGGCCUCUGUAUCAACCCCGCUGGAGUUCCUGUCCUGGCUUCCUUCAAUGACUGCCUGAUCUUAGCUGAGUUGAUGUCUGAUCAUUAUAUUCUGCUCAGGAGAGGGCAUCAGAUUAAUCAGCUUAUGCUGCUUUCUCUCUCUGGACCUCACUUUUCUAUCUCAUCUUCACAGCAACCCAAUGCCUGAGAGCUGUACCCA
This 503-nucleotide long non-coding RNA is filed under the name Mus pahari (shrew mouse). RNAcentral describes it as "lncRNA (MGP_PahariEiJ_G0002396.1)". Lineage: Eukaryota; Metazoa; Chordata; Mammalia; Rodentia; Muridae. The record is from RNAcentral.